This 425-nucleotide ribosomal RNA is filed under the name uncultured bacterium. RNAcentral's name for it is "partial 16S ribosomal RNA". It matches the Rfam family "Bacterial small subunit ribosomal RNA", at positions 354 to 796 of the family's 1533-position model. The record is from RNAcentral.
GUGGGGAAUCUUGCGCAAUGGGCGAAAGCCUGACGCAGCCAUGCCGCGUGAAUGAUGAAGGUCUUAGGAUUGUAAAAUUCUUUCACCGGGGACGAUAAUGACGGUACCCGGAGAAGAAGCUCCGGCUAACUUCGUGCCAGCAGCCGCGGUAAUACGAAGGGGGCUAGCGUUGCUCGGAAUUACUGGGCGUAAAGGGCGCGUAGGCGGACAGCUUAGUCAGAGGUGAAAGCCCAGGGCUCAACCUUGUGAUUGCCUUUGAUACUGGCUGUCUUGAGUUUGGGAGAGGUGAGUGGAACUCCGAGUGUAGAGGUGAAAUUCGUAGAUAUUCGGAAGAACACCAGUGGCGAAGGCGACUCACUGGCCCAAUACUGACGCUGAGGCGCGAAAGCGUGGGGAGCAAACAGGAUUAGAUACCCCUGUAGUCC